UAGUUUUCUCCAUUAUGCUAUUACACCUCUAUUACAUUCAACCAAACACAAUUUUACUAUUACGCCUCUAUUCCAUUAAAUUCAACCAAACAGUUGAUUUGCUAUUACACCUCUAUUCCAUUACACCUCUAAUCCAAUACACCUCUAAUCCAAUACACCUCUAAUCCAAUACAGCGAACCAAACGUGUUCUUAGUGUUAGAGAUGUGUGACUCAAAUCUUAUCACUUGUUAAAGAAAUAAAAUAAAGAGGCAAAAUAGAACCUUACCGCACAAGUUGAAUCCGUACAAGAGUAUACUUUUUCUAUUAGACAAUAAUUAUAACAGGGUUGUUUAAUCCUUAAAUAGAUGUAAUCGAACUUCUCUUGUUGUGUGUUUUUCAACAUAGUGAAUUUUUUUUAUUCUGCUCGUGUUUUUCUCGAUAAUGAUUUUCCAAAUAAAAUCUGUAUUUUUAUUUUUC
RNAcentral lists this long non-coding RNA (457 nucleotides) under Gossypium barbadense (sea-island cotton). RNAcentral describes it as "long non-coding RNA (GBAR_LNC019513)". The record is from RNAcentral. Lineage: Eukaryota; Viridiplantae; Streptophyta; Magnoliopsida; Malvales; Malvaceae.